GAUGAACGCUGGCGGCGUGCCUAAUACAUGCAAGUAGAGCGAACAGACGAGGAGCUUGCUCCUCUGACGUUAGCGGCGGACGGGUGAGUAACACGUGGAUAACCUACCUAUAAGACUGGGAUAACUUCGGGAAACCGGAGCUAAUACCGGAUAAUAUAUUGAACCGCAUGGUUCAAUAGUGAAAGACGGUUUUGCUGUCACUUAUAGAUGGAUCCGCGCCGCUUUAGCUAGUUGGUAAGGUAACGGCUUACUAAGGCAACGAUGCGUAGCCGACCUGAGGGGGGGAUCGGCCACACUGGAACUGAGACACGGUCCAGACUCCUACGGGAGGCAGCGGUAGGGAAUCUUCCGCAAUGGGCGAAAGCUUGACGGAGCAACGCCGCGUGAGUGAGGAAGUUCUUCGGAUCGUAAAACUCUGUUAUUAGGGAGGAACAAAUGUGUAAGUAACUAUGCACGUCUUGACGGUACCUAAUCAGAAAGCCACGGCUAACUACGUG
RNAcentral lists this ribosomal RNA (497 nucleotides) under uncultured bacterium. RNAcentral's name for it is "partial 16S ribosomal RNA". It matches the Rfam family "Bacterial small subunit ribosomal RNA", at positions 28 to 507 of the family's 1533-position model. The record is from RNAcentral.